GCCGCGGUAAUACGUAGGGUGCGAGCGUUAAUCGGAAUUACUGGGCGUAAAGCGUGCGCAGGCGGUUCGUUGUGUCGGCGGUGAAAUCCCCGGGCUCAACCUGGGAAUGGCAUUGGUGACUGCACGGCUAGAGUGUGUCAGAGGGGGGUAGAAUUCCACGUGUAGCAGUGAAAUGCGUAGAGAUGUGGAGGAAUACCGAUGGCGAAGGCAGCCCCCUGGGAUAACACUGACGCUCAGGCACGAAAGCGUGGGGAGCAAACAG
Molecule: ribosomal RNA, 262 nt
Filed under: uncultured bacterium
Lineage: Bacteria
Description: partial 16S ribosomal RNA
Rfam family: Bacterial small subunit ribosomal RNA
Source: RNAcentral